This 253-nucleotide ribosomal RNA is filed under the name uncultured bacterium. RNAcentral's name for it is "partial 16S ribosomal RNA". It matches the Rfam family "Bacterial small subunit ribosomal RNA", at positions 524 to 776 of the family's 1533-position model. The record is from RNAcentral.
UACAGAGGUCUCAAGCGUUGUUCGGAUUCAUUGGGCGUAAAGGGUGCGUAGGCGGCGCGGUAAGUCGGGUGUGAAAUCUCGGAGCUUAACUCCGAAACUGCAUUCGAUACUGCCGUGCUUGAGGACUGGAGAGGAGACUGGAAUUUACGGUGUAGCGGUGAAAUGCGUAGAUAUCGUAAGGAACACCUGUGGCGAAAGCGGCUCACUGGACCAUUACUGACGCUGAUGUACGAAAGCUAGGGGAGCAAACAGG